AUACGUAGGGGGCGAGCGUUGUCCGGAAUUACUGGGCGUAAAGAGCUCGUAGGUGGUUUGUCGCGUCGUCUGUGAAAUUCCGGGGCUUAACUCCGGGCGUGCAGGCGAUACGGGCAUAACUUGAGUACUGUAGGGGAGACUGGAAUUCCUGGUGUAGCGGUGAAAUGCGCAGAUAUCAGGGGGAACACCGGUGGCGAAGGCGGGUUGCUGGGCUGUAACUGGAGCUGAGGAGCGAAAGCGUGGGUAGCGAACAGGAUUAGAUACCCUGGUAGUCCAUGCCGUAAACGGUGGGCGCUAGGUGUAGGGGUGUUCCCCGGCUUCUGUGCCGUAGCUAACGCAUUAAGCGCCCCGCCUGGGGAGUACGGCCGCAAGGCUAAAACUCAAAUGAAUUGACGGGG
RNAcentral lists this ribosomal RNA (398 nucleotides) under uncultured bacterium. RNAcentral describes it as "partial 16S ribosomal RNA". It matches the Rfam family "Bacterial small subunit ribosomal RNA", at positions 523 to 918 of the family's 1533-position model. The record is from RNAcentral.